This 253-nucleotide unclassified non-coding RNA is filed under the name uncultured Flavobacteriaceae bacterium. RNAcentral's name for it is "contains 16S-23S intergenic spacer region". It matches the Rfam family "Bacterial small subunit ribosomal RNA", at positions 524 to 776 of the family's 1533-position model. Lineage: Bacteria; Pseudomonadati; Bacteroidota; Flavobacteriia; Flavobacteriales; Flavobacteriaceae. The record is from RNAcentral.
UACGGAGGGUCCAAGCGUUAUCCGGAAUCAUUGGGUUUAAAGGGUCCGCAGGCGGGCCAGUAAGUCAGGGGUGAAAGUUUGCGGCUCAACCGUAAAAUUGCCUUUGAUACUGCUGGUCUUGAGUUACGGUGAAGUGGCUGGAAUAUGUGGUGUAGCGGUGAAAUGCAUAGAUAUCACAUAGAACACCGAUUGCGAAGGCAGGUCACUAACCGCCAACUGACGCUGAUGGACGAAAGCGUGGGGAGCGAACGGG